This is a non-coding RNA of Stegodyphus mimosarum, 73 nucleotides long. Lineage: Eukaryota; Metazoa; Arthropoda; Arachnida; Araneae; Eresidae. The record is from Rfam.
GCCCUUGUGGUGUAGUGGUCAGCACACUCGGCGCGUAUUCGAGAGGCCGGUGGUUCGAGUCCCGGCGAGGGCA